This 639-nucleotide ribosomal RNA is filed under the name Pseudomonas aeruginosa. RNAcentral describes it as "bacterial SSU rRNA". It matches the Rfam family "Bacterial small subunit ribosomal RNA", at positions 56 to 692 of the family's 1533-position model. Lineage: Bacteria; Pseudomonadati; Pseudomonadota; Gammaproteobacteria; Pseudomonadales; Pseudomonadaceae. The record is from RNAcentral.
UGCAGUCGAGCGGAUGAGGGAGCUUGCUCCUGGAUUCAGCGGCGGACGGGUGAGUAAUGCCUAGGAAUCUGCCUGGUAGUGGGGGAUAACGUCCGGAAACGGGCGCUAAUACCGCAUACGUCCUGAGGGAGAAAGUGGGGGAUCUUCGGACCUCACGCUAUCAGAUGAGCCUAGGUCGGAUUAGCUAGUUGGUGGGGUAAAGGCCUACCAAGGCGACGAUCCGUAACUGGUCUGAGAGGAUGAUCAGUCACACUGGAACUGAGACACGGUCCAGACUCCUACGGGAGGCAGCAGUGGGGAAUAUUGGACAAUGGGCGAAAGCCUGAUCCAGCCAUGCCGCGUGUGUGAAGAAGGUCUUCGGAUUGUAAAGCACUUUAAGUUGGGAGGAAGGGCAGUAAGUUAAUACCUUGCUGUUUUGACGUUACCAACAGAAUAAGCACCGGCUAACUUCGUGCCAGCAGCCGCGGUAAUACGAAGGGUGCAAGCGUUAAUCGGAAUUACUGGGCGUAAAGCGCGCGUAGGUGGUUCAGCAAGUUGGAUGUGAAAUCCCCGGGCUCAACCUGGGAACUGCAUCCAAAACUACUGAGCUAGAGUACGGUAGAGGGUGGUGGAAUUUCCUGUGUAGCGGUGAAAUGCGUA